Molecule: long non-coding RNA, 1422 nt
Organism: Vigna angularis (adzuki bean)
Lineage: Eukaryota; Viridiplantae; Streptophyta; Magnoliopsida; Fabales; Fabaceae
Exons: 5
Source: RefSeq, a predicted model, not a curated record
CGAUCAUUUCCAACUUACACCAUCGUGAUGUUAUGUUUUGCACAAAUCGCUUUAUAGGAUGUUCUCUACUUCUUAGGAAAACACACAUAUUACCGACCGGCAUUUACCGAAGGCCUCUGAUCCUUCGAUAAUGAAGUGGUGAAAUAAUUUACUGAGGGCUCUUGACAUUCGAUAAUGUGCGCGAUGGAUUUAAGUAAAUAAUUUGGGUUUCCUUCCCCCAAUUUUAGAAAUCUCCUACCCUCGUUUGUCGCUCGCGCUUGCCUUAAGCCAAAUAUCAGAAGUUGCUUGGGUUUUGGGAGUGCCAAUUUGCUUGCCAUAAGGCGUUCUCGUGUAACCGUUCUGUUUGACGGUGAGGUGUGUUCGUUGGUGGCUGCUGCUUUGCGGUUUGGGUAGCUAGGCUUCGUGGCGUUUGCGGUCGUGGUAGUUGGCGUUUGCGGCAGUGGUGGUGGGUCGUGGAGGUUGGCUUGACGACGACGUUGGGGUGAAGUGGGGUUGUUAAUUUCGUAGGGGUGGUGGUCUGCACAGUGUGGCAUCGUCAAGCAUUUGGUUAUCGAGGACGACAUUGUAUACCAAUCCAAAGUCCUUUUCCUCCCACUCGCACCACAAAUGCCAAUAUUACAGCCACUGGAAUCCCACAAAGGUUGUACGGGUCAUGUAUCCCAUGAAUUGACUCAGAUGAGAACGAAACAUGGAAUUUUGGGCAUAAUAGGGUGGGGUCUGAUCCUGCCUGUAGGGGCAAUUAUUGCUAGAUAUUUCAGGCACAAGGAUCCCUUAUGGCUCUAUCUCCAUGCAAUCAUUCAGUUUGUGUGAUUCACAUUUGGGCUUAGUACAAUCAUUCUUGGAUUACAACUCUAUUCCAAAAUGCAUGCCCAUAUAUAAGCUCAUAGAGGCAUAGACAUCUUUGCCCUUGUACUAACUAUUCUUCAGCGAUUGUUCUUGAAGUAUUGGCAUAUUUGAAAAGAUCGGAGAUGCAUUCUCUACGUCCUAACUUCCAAAUAGACCUUGUUGGAGGAGCUACAUUUCCAAGGGGAAUGUGAUUGCUACUAGUUUUACAGUUCCACAAACGUUGUCAAUUGUUCCAUUUAAAGCAGCGCUAUACAUUUGAAUUCUUUUUGGCAUGUUCCUUGUUGCCAUUUCUGGUUGUGCUUUUCCUGAUGGUACAUAUUGGGGGAAAUGCGUACAUAACCAGCUACGAGUUUGCCAAGUUGGAGAAUCCUUGUUCGGUAUUCUCACUCAAUUUCACCAGAUUGAAGUCGUUUUUUUGAAGAUUGCCAAGAAUGUAAAUGACGAUUCAUAAGAGCUUUCUAUUUACAGUUACAUUUUAUAAUUCGUAGCCUUUUUUUCUGCUGGAGAUAUAUGUAUUGGAAUUUAAGAAUCAUACUUUGUUCUUUGUUGAAUGAGAAGAGAUUACAUUCAUUAGUA